GAAUAUUGGACAAUGGGCGCAAGCCUGAUCCAGCCAUGCCGCGUGUGUGAAGAAGGCCUUCGGGUUGUAAAGCACUUUUGUACGGGAAGAAAUCUCUUGGGUUAAUACCCUGGGAGCAUGACGGUACCGUACGAAUAAGCACCGGCUAACUUCUGCCCGGCAGCCGCGGUAAUACGAAGGGUGCAAGCGUUACUCGGAAUUACUGGGCGUAAAGCGUGCGUAGGUGGUUCGUUAAGUCUGCCGUGAAAGCCCCGGGCUCAACCUGGGAAUUGCGGUGGAUACUGGCGGACUAGAGUGCGGUAGAGGGUGGUGGAAUUUCCGGUGUAGCAGUGAAAUGCGUAGAGAUCGGGAGGAACAUCUGUGGCGAAGGCGGCCACCUGGACCAGCACUGACACUGAGGCACGAAAGCGUGGGGAGCAAACAGG
RNAcentral lists this ribosomal RNA (425 nucleotides) under uncultured bacterium. Its description in RNAcentral is "bacterial SSU rRNA". It matches the Rfam family "Bacterial small subunit ribosomal RNA", at positions 359 to 776 of the family's 1533-position model. The record is from RNAcentral.